GGUAAUGAAAGGGAGUUUCCUUUCAAUCAGAGAACAGGGACUUUACAGAAUUUGUUGUCUACUUUAUUACUUGGAGCAUUAUGUCUACCCUCUGCUGAUAUCUGCUUUCUUUCCUAUGUAAUUCAGUAACAUGUAAUGUGGCUUUAAUCUCCUGUUCCCUCCUGUCUGUGUACUGUGAGACAAGAGAGACAGAUGAGCUCGGAAGUCAGGGGGCAGUGGAGUUGCAGCACAGCUGCGUACCUGUCAAGUCUCCUCAAUCAUCCAUUUGAUCACACUGCUUUCAAGGCCUGUAGAGAUCAAAAAAAACCUCUGCACACAUGGCAAGUCCCCAGGGAGGCAGCAAUUGAACCUAGUCAGAAAUGUGCGACGAAAGAGAGGAGGUCUUCCGAGAAAAACACUUUUGGGCCUUCUACUGAUGCAGACCAACCAGCAUGGAGACAUUGGAUAGAUACGCAAACUCAGGAGGAAAAGGAAAAUUUCACACGGCUUUGUACCCUGGUCAGAUGAAUGACAAGCAUUGCACUUCACAGUCAUGGAAAAGGUGUGCUCUGUCCCCAAUCCAUGGAAGCUCUACAAGGUGCUAUGUAAAGCAUGUGCCAGAUUUGCUACUGGUGCAGUUUGAAAUCUGCUGACAUGGAGAUGUACCGUAUCACAGCUCAACCUGUGAGUUUUGUUUUAUUCCCCUGCCUUUCUCUCAUAGGAUUAUUUUGUUGUUGUUCUUUGUUAUGCCUGUGCUUUUAAGACAUGUCUUCCUUCUUUGCUGUUUUUAGCAUUGUGUUUCCUAUUAAAUAUUGUGUUGGUAUUGGUGAGCUUGCUUACUUUUCUUUUUAUGCUGUUCUGAACUUUCCUCACCCCGUUUGUCACUUUUAAACCACACCCUGGUGAAAGGACUCAGAGAUGAAAU
RNAcentral lists this long non-coding RNA (904 nucleotides) under Anser brachyrhynchus (Pink-footed goose). RNAcentral describes it as "lncRNA (ENSABRG00000004128.1)". Lineage: Eukaryota; Metazoa; Chordata; Aves; Anseriformes; Anatidae. The record is from RNAcentral.